GAUGAACGCUGGCGGCGUGCCUAAUACAUGCAAGUCGAGCGAACAGACGAGGAGCUUGCUCCUCUGACGUUAGCGGCGGACGGGUGAGUAACACGUGGAUAACCUACCUAUAAGACUGGGAUAACUUCGGGAAACCGGGGCUAAUACCGGAUAAUAUAUUGAACCGCAUGGUUCAAUAGUGAAAGACGGUUUUGCUGUCACUUAUAGAUGGAUCCGCGCCGCAUUAGCUAGUUGGUAAGGUAACGGCUUACCAAGGCAACGAUGCGUAGCCGACCUGAGAGGGUGAUCAGCCACACUGGAACUGAGACACGGUCCAGACUCCUACGGGAGGCAGCAGUAGGGAAUCUUCCGCAAUGGGCGAAAGCCUGACGGAGCAACGCCGCGUGAGUGAUGAAGGUCUUCGGAUCGUAAAACUCUGUUAUUAGGGAAGAACAAAUGUGUAAGUAACUAUGCACGUCUUGACGGUACCUAAUCAGAAAGCCACGGCUAACUACGUG
This 497-nucleotide ribosomal RNA is filed under the name uncultured bacterium. RNAcentral's name for it is "partial 16S ribosomal RNA". It matches the Rfam family "Bacterial small subunit ribosomal RNA", at positions 28 to 507 of the family's 1533-position model. The record is from RNAcentral.